Non-coding RNA from Pelodiscus sinensis (Chinese soft-shelled turtle), 237 nucleotides. The record is from RefSeq and is a predicted model, not a curated record. NCBI's taxonomy places the organism in Eukaryota, Metazoa, Chordata, Testudines, Trionychidae.
UUGAUCACCCUGAGGCUGCCUUCCCCACCCUUCAAGUCAAAGCUAGGGGUGCGCUAGUCCUGAGCAUGCUCCAAGUUUUUGUGUGUCUUCGUGUUGUUAUUGCUGAAUUUAGUACCCAGGACCCUAGUUAUGACUGAGUCAUGCCACAAAAAGAAGAUUACAGAGGAUAAAAUGGAGAGCCUGAAUAGUGCAACUCAGAUGUUUGUCAAGUUUUGCUGUAACUUCACAAAAUAACCA